CCUACGGGUGGCAGCAGUGGGGAAUAUUGCGCAAUGGGCGAAAGCCUGACGCAGCGACGCCGCGUGAGGGAUGACGGUCUUCGGAUCGUAAACCUCUGUCAGCAGGGAAGCACGGUCACUGUGCUAAUCAGCAGUGAAUUGACGGUACCUGCAAAGGAAGCACCGGCUAACUCCGUGCCAGCAGCCGCGGUAAUACGGAGGGUGCGAGCGUUAAUCGGCAUUACUGGGCGUAAAGCGCUCGUAGGCGGUAUGUCAAGUCAAGGGGGAAAUCCCCGCGCUCAACGUGGGAACUGCCUUUGAAACUGGCAAACUGGAGUGUGUGAGAGGAUAGUGGAAUUCCAGGUGUAGGAGUGAAAUCCGUAGAUAUCUGGAGGAACAGCAGUGGCGAAGGCGACUAUCUGGCACAUAACUGACGCUGAGGAGCGAAAGCGUGGGUAGCAAACAGGAUUAGAUACCCGGGUAGUC
RNAcentral lists this ribosomal RNA (465 nucleotides) under uncultured bacterium. Its description in RNAcentral is "partial 16S ribosomal RNA". It matches the Rfam family "Bacterial small subunit ribosomal RNA", at positions 338 to 795 of the family's 1533-position model. The record is from RNAcentral.